GGGGAGUGAGUUAAAAGAAGCAGUGAUUCGAUUUAGAUUAUUCGCUGUCAGAAAGCAGGGCUAAUUGGUUAGUGUCUUAGGAAAUCUCUGCGGAGGCAUGAAUAGAAUAAGACAAGUGUCAUUUGUAAAGAAACAGUCUUACAAAGGCUGGGAGUGGGGAGUGGUGGUACUUUGUGGCUUGGAUGAUGUUCAUACUUUGUCGUGUCCAGACAUGAUAAGUGGGUAGAAUGGUCUGUCUGCUGAUCCAUCAGGGUCAUAUGAUGGUUUUAAGUGAUGUUGAUGUUCUGUGUCAUCGUUGCGGCUCCCCAGGAGCACACCACGACCUAGCAGAGGGUACCACACGGGUCCGUGGGUGACGUGGUUUGCCUUUAUCCUCUUUCUUCAAUUUAAAGAGAAGUAGGAGCAGAGGUGAACUGGAGGAUUGGGGUAUUUUUUCUGGACUGUAGGUUUAUGGUAAAACCAGAAGGGGAAUAAAAAUCUGACUGAAAACAAUGGAGCCACGUGAGCCUGAGUGCAGGAGGAAGGAGCUGGGCCUGGGGUUACAAUGACCUUCAGCGGAGGGAUAGCCGGUGCCAGGUGGCCCCUGAGCCUUGGUCCUUUCUCGUUAGGGAUGAUCCCUCCUCAGGAUCUGCUCAGUUGGUCCCUCACGUUCCCUUUGUAUUGAGAACAGCUGUCCGGUGCUCCCUGCCCUCCAGCUCUCUCUGCACCCAACUCAGUCCAGCUGCCAAAUGCCAGCCCUGGACGAUUUUAAGGCUGGAAAGUGUUGAGACUCCCUCACUGCCAGAUGCUGUCUUGGAGAGGGUGGGAGAAAGACUGAACAGCGAGCCACACUCAGGUGUCACAGUGACUUCCCUGUGCCACAUUGGAGAAUAUGCCCAAUAACAUGACUGGUCAGCCUGCCAUGGAAUCCUGCUGUUCUGAAAUCUGAGGUUCCCACUGCCUGGGUGCUGCAGGAGGAAUUGUAACUUUGUUUCACCCCAGUCAUAUUUGAUUCUUAAUAUUUUAAUUAAAACAAUUUUUAAAUUUGAAAAUCCCUAAGAAUAUUCUCUUCACUAAAUGGUAUGGAUUGGUGUGGAUUACCUACAGUUCUCGUUUACUCCAGAGAUGCUUUUCAGAACUCUUCCAUAAACGUGUAGUUGUGAAUCACUAGUUGGUGACCUUUCUCUGGGCUAUAGUUUUCCCCUAAAGAACAGCUGUGGAAUUUAUCUUCAGGAACUUAUAAGCUGAGUAAGGGAUGCCUUUGCAUUUUAAAUAUAAUGUC
RNAcentral lists this long non-coding RNA (1261 nucleotides) under Canis lupus familiaris (dog). RNAcentral describes it as "lncRNA (ENSCAFG00040006728.1)". The record is from RNAcentral. Lineage: Eukaryota; Metazoa; Chordata; Mammalia; Carnivora; Canidae.